AGCGAACGCUGGCGGCAGGCUUACACAUGCAAGUCGAGCGCCCCGCAAGGGGAGCGGCAGACGGGAGAGUAACACGUGGGAACAUACCUUUUGGUUCGGAACAACUGAGGGAAACUUCAGCUAAUACCGGAUAAGCCCUUACGGGGAAAGAUUUAUCGCCGAAAGAUUGGCCCGCGUCUGAUUAGCUAGUUGGUGAGGUAACGGCUCACCAAGGCGACGAUCAGUAGCUGGUCUGAGAGGAUGAUCAGCCUCACUGGGACUGAGACACGGCCCAGACUCCUACGGGAGGCAGCAGUGGGGAAUAUUGGACAAUGGGGGCAACCCUGAUCCAGCCAUGCCGCGUGAGUGAUGAAGGCCUUAGGGUUGUAAAGCUCUUUUGCCCGGGAAGAUAAUGACGGUACCGGGAGAAUAAGCCCCGGCUAACUUCGUG
This 430-nucleotide ribosomal RNA is filed under the name uncultured bacterium. Its description in RNAcentral is "partial 16S ribosomal RNA". It matches the Rfam family "Bacterial small subunit ribosomal RNA", at positions 29 to 507 of the family's 1533-position model. The record is from RNAcentral.